This 472-nucleotide ribosomal RNA is filed under the name uncultured bacterium. RNAcentral describes it as "bacterial SSU rRNA". It matches the Rfam family "Bacterial small subunit ribosomal RNA", at positions 364 to 832 of the family's 1533-position model. The record is from RNAcentral.
UUCGCAAUGCCCGAAAGGGUGAACGAGCGACGCCGCGUGCGGGAUGAAGGGUUUCGGCUUGUAAACCGCUUUUCUUUGGGAAGAAGGUCUGUCUCGUGAAGAUGGGCUCGACGGUACCAGAGGAAUAAGCCUCGGCUAACUCCGUGCCAGCAGCCGCGGUAAUACGGAUGGAGCAAGCGUUGUUCGGAAUCACUGGGCAUAAAGCGCAUGUAGGCGGCUCUGAAAGUAGGGUGUGAAAUCCCCAUGGCCCACCCAGGGAACUGCAUUCUAAACUUCAGGGCUUGAGUGAAGAAGGGGAGAGAGGAACUCCUGGUGGAGCGGUAAAAUGCGUAGAUAUCAGGAGGAACGCCGGUGGAGAAGUCGUCUCUCUGGUCUUUUACUGACGCUGAGAUGCGAAAGCUAGGGGAGCAAACGGGAUUAGAUACCCCGGUAGCCCUAGCCGUAAACGAUGGGCACUAAGUAGAGGGGUUUU